CACGAAGUUAGCCGGGGCUUCUUCUCCGGUUACCGUCAUUAUCUUCACCGGUGAAAGAGCUUUACAAUCCUAAGACCGUCAUCACUCACGCGGCAUGGCUGGAUCAGGCUUGCGCCCAUUGUCCAAUAUUCCCCACUGCUGCCUCCCGUAGGAGUUUGGUCCGUGUCUCAGUCCCAAUGUGGCUGAUCAUCCUCUCAGACCAGCUAUGGAUCGUCGCCUUGGUAGGCCUUUACCCCACCAACUAGCUAAUCCAACGCGGGCUCAUCCAUCACCGAUAAAUCUUUCACCUCUCGGUCGUAUACGGUAUUAGCUCCAGUUUCCCGGAGUUUGUUCCGUAGUGAUGGGUAGAUUCCCACGCGUUACUCACCCGUCUGCCGCUCGUAUUGCUACGCGCUCGACUUGCAUGUGUUAAGCCUGCCGCCAGCGUUCGUUCUGAGCCAGGAUCAAACUCU
RNAcentral lists this ribosomal RNA (452 nucleotides) under uncultured Phyllobacterium sp. RNAcentral's name for it is "partial 16S ribosomal RNA". Lineage: Bacteria; Pseudomonadati; Pseudomonadota; Alphaproteobacteria; Hyphomicrobiales; Phyllobacteriaceae. The record is from RNAcentral.